Molecule: non-coding RNA, 5361 nt
Organism: Delphinapterus leucas (beluga whale)
Lineage: Eukaryota; Metazoa; Chordata; Mammalia; Artiodactyla; Monodontidae
Source: RefSeq, a predicted model, not a curated record
GCAGAUCUCAGGACAGUCAACAUGGAUGGCAGUAAAAGUUUCCUUUGUUUGAUUAUCUCUGCUGUGCUAUGACUUGGUCUACAAACUUUGUGGAACUUACCCCAUUGGAUCUUCAUAACAACUCUUCUAGGUCAGUAUUAAUCAGUCCUAUGUUACAGAUACAAGUUGAGCUAAAAGAAAUAGAAAAUGUCCAAGACCACACCAUUGCUCCGAGGUAGAAUCAGUGUUUACACUCAUGUCUGUCUUACUCUGAAGCUCUUGUUCCCUCUUCUGUGCCAUGCUGUCUCUGCCUUUACAUUUCCACAGCUUGUAUCUAUGUUAUUUAUGAGUUCAUGGUUUCAGCUUAGGUGGAGGGAGGAGUGAGCUAGACACACAAAAAAUAAUUACCUGGGCAGAACGCAUAUGCAUAUGCUAUUCUGCAUGGUAAAAAAAAACAUCAGAUGAGUCGUACUUAGAGAAACAAGAGCUUUGAGAACUGGAGUGGUCAGGAGUGAAGGUUGAGCAGAACCUGUUGAACACUGAUACCACCCUUGUGACCAGAAUAUGAUUAUUAAAUAAAUGAAUUAAAGAAUGAAGGAUACUGCUUAUGAUCAUGGAGUGUUUAUCAUACCCUGAGCUUUGUAAGAAAGAUUGCAGGUUAACUCUCAAAUCUGAAUGAAAAAUAUGUCAACAGUGUGAGAAAUGAUAACCCUGGGAUUAUUUAGUUCUUAAACUUGGCUGCAUUUUGGAAUUACCUAGGGUGUUCCAAACAACGUGCUUAGGCUACAACCUGUACCAAUUAUUUGAGAAUCUCUAGGAAUGGGAUCCAAGCAUCAGUAAUUUCUUAAACACUCCAGCUGACUGCAGUGUGAAGUCAGAUUCCAGUGCAACAUGAUAAGAAAUGUCCUAUGAUAAGGGCCAUAACCUGACAUAGGGUAGAGAUUUACUCUGAGGCAGUAGAGACCUGGAAACUGAACAAUUUGGACAAAGUUGAUUCUUCCCAAAAUAUAAUCUGUAAUGUAUGUCACAAUUAGUGACUUAGACAUACUAGUAAAACUUGAAUAUCAGAAACACAGGGCCCAUUGUCAAAUACAUUUAUAAAAUGCUGACUAACCACACAGGUGUUUGUUGUUGUUAUUGUUUUAACUUCAGGCCUUCUAAGAGCCUUGACGGUUCUAGCGUGUGUUAUAUCUAUCAAGUAUGUAGCACUUUCUAACUUUAUGUCCCUGUUUGCUUUGUUUUACCUUUGGUGGAACUAGUGUUUCAUGGAGCCCCAUUCUGGGAACAACAACUACAAAGUGUCGACAAAACUAAAAACAGCUUAUUUUGAAGUCUAGGCAGCCUAUGUGUUUCUUUAAAUACAUUUGAUCCACACAACAAUAUUAUGAUUAGGAAUUAGCAUAUGCUUUUGUUGGAUGAGGAAAUGGAUGCUCUAAUACUUACCUUGGUUAAGUUCACACAAUAAAUAACAGAACAGGAAUUCAAAUCAGGUCUAUGAUUGUUAAUUCAACAAUGUAUCUUUGUAUUCACAGCCUCUCAGAGUUUCUCAGUAAAGUCCCUUCCCCUCCAGGUUGAGCCUAAAUAGCAGUUACCAUACUGCGGCAAUACUGACCACUGCUAAGUACUUCGCGCUCUUAAACAGUUCAAGGUUGAGGUUAAAUUGUCCUAUUAAAAUCUCUCUGACUUCUGUUUAUCUGACUAAAUACACUUUGUCUGCACUGCAGACUUUGUGUGCAUUGCAGAAUCAUUGCUCACGAUCGCCUUUCUGCCCCUCCAUGACUUCCUUAAGAAACGCCCUAUCUAACCAAUGCCUCACGUUGCUUACAGCCCUUUGCCUGCUUCCCAGAGUUCUUAAAUUCUUAGGUAGUGUCCUCAAACAAACAAGCAGUGGUGACACCAGCUCAUUUUCCUCUUUUAAUAAUUGGAUGACUGUGCAGGGUGCUACAGGAAUAUGCAUGAGAGCUUAAUUAUAUUCUCUGCCUCGCUGAGUGAAUGUUGGCUAGCAAGAAGCCUCUGCCUAUGGUGUAAAACAUCACAGAGAUCAGAUUGGUUCCCCUUGCACUUGCACGUGGCUGAUAAUCAGCUCUCUCCAUACACAGGCAGACAGAUGAAGCCAGUUUUAUCUGAAAAGGUGUCAGUGUCCUGUUAGCAGCUGCAUGUCUUGACUUUACACUCAUAGCAAACUCAGUAGCAGGCUGAGCAACCCAGAUCUUCUCUUGAUCUGGACGAGUCAGUGAUGCAGCCUCGAAAAUACAAAACCACUUCAUUUUUCUGGAAUCACCAGAAAAUCAUCUAGUACUAUGAGCAGCACCCUCAGGUUAUCAGAACACGCUUUUCAGUGCCCAAAAGUUAAGCACAUUCAACGUUUUCAGAUAUGAAAAAUCUCUCAACAUGAACAAAAUGCUUUCUUAAUACAACAUUCAUAUAUUGGGCACCAACUAUGUCCCAAGCACUACGACAAUUAUUAGGGACAAAAAUAAGGAUAGAAAGUUACAUGUUAUGUGAAGGCUCAAGAGCAUUUCCUUUAGGUAAAGCACAGAUUUUAAUUUGGGGGCUCAUUGCUACCUCCACUCUGACUAUUCAGAAGAACUUUUUCUUCUCUCUCAGCUGUGGUCUGUAUAGAUGAGGCUGUUGGUUAAGUGACCUUGAGAAAAGAGGGUGUUUUUGUAGAUACACUGCCAUUCAUUCCAUAAACAUUCCCCACAUAUCCCCAUAUCCGGCCAUCUGCAUACAGCACACUUCAGUCACUCUCUGUACUAUGUUAAAUCAAAGUGCUUUCCCUUUUCGCAGGAGAGACGCAAGCUAAUCAAAUCAUGGAUAGAGGCACAUACAAAGGACAGUGGGAUCAUCAGGACUAUAUAUCUACAUUCAAAUCGUCAUAUGUUUUUGAAAUUUCCAGGUAUUCAGCAGCGGCAGAACUGUACGUGGCAACCAGAAUCAAAUUAGCAGAGGUCCACAGAAGCCCUGAUCUGCUCCUACUUAAAUGAGUGCGGCUGCUUCUAUCACAGAAGGAACUGACAUCAUUUCUAUUCACUUGUACGCUCACCAGCCUCCUUAAUACAGCUUCAGGAACUAAAUGUUUCCCAGUAGACAAUGCAGGUGUCACUUCUGAGAAAUGCACACACUCUGUUAACAGUAAAGGUGGCAGCCGAUUCUGGGACUAUAAUUGGAGCUUUUCUUCUCCAUUCCAGUUGCAUGAUUUCUCUUUCUCUUCAGUGACUUCCUUAACUUUAUAAAUGAAUACAAAGGCUCAACCACAUGCUACAGCAAAGAUAUUUGCUUAAUCCCUUUAGCCAUCUGUAAAGCAAGAGUAAUACACUCUAGCAACGCAUCAGUAGUGAGUGUGCGUGCAUGUGUGUGCACGUCUGCAUGCAUGUCUGUGUGCAUUAGGGCAUAAUGCAGAUAAUAUACCCAAUGAAGCCCACCGGAAAGCACAUUGUGUUUUUUUAAAGAUUUAAAUAAUACAGGGCAAAGCCAUGGCUUGUGAGUCUAAAACAACCCUCUAAAUUGGUUAUUUUCAUUGCUCACUUGCACAUGAAUGUGAUCAUUGAUCAUUAAUUUUGACUGUAGAUGAACAAUACUUAAGAAAGUCUACUGUAUGCAAUUCUAGAAUUUGCUUUAGCCAAGUUCAAAUUCUAUGUGGUGUUAACUCAUUUGUUUUUCAUUAAGUUCUUUAUUAACAGCCAAAUCCCUUGAUUAUUACACUUCUCUGAACUUUCUUGUUAAUCUUACUUACGAGUCACAUAAUGCCUGAAUACAUUUCUCUGAAAUGUUGCUGAGAUAAAAGAGCUGACACUGACAGUAAUUAACUUCUAAAUAAAUAUUAAAAUGAGAGGGCAUCGUAAAUACCCCCAGUGCAACGGAUCCAUGCCUAAGUCCCUAGGACGUUAGGCAGCUGGUCUGUCACCAUUUGAGCUGAGGGCAGCUGUCACUGAUUUUGGAAGAUAUUCCUCUAUACUAUUUAGCCUAAUUAGCCUCUUUUAAUUCUCAGUUUUAGCUAAAAUACAUAUUUUAUACUUUGCUUUUCACAGAUUUGACCUCUUAGCCGUAUGUUCUCCUGACCAAUUCUCCACAGCUUACUUGCAUAUAAAAGUUGUCCCUAGGUAGGGACCAAGUUCAAUGGUUUCCCCUACCCACCCACCGCCUACCCAAUUGUGAUGGAUCCUUGCACACAGCUGGCUGGAAGCCCAAAUGGUGUGUCCCAUGUCUGUUGAAUUGAGGUACAUUUGCUCAUAAGAUAUUCAUCUCAAAUCUGUCAAACAAAAACUGUGAAAGUGUUGUGUGAUUGGCUGAGGCUGUCUGUUCCAUAAAAAAGCAGAAAUCACGCCAGCACAAGUGUGAUGUCUGGCAUCCAACCGACAGGGUUGAAAUACUAGUUGUGACCCAGAUUAGAAGUGUAACUUUGGGCAGGUUACUUAUGUUCUCUAAAUCUUAAUUUCCUCACGUGUGAAAUGUAGAAAACCAGUAUCCUCUGUUAAAGGUGUUGUAACUAACAUCUUUGUAUUAAAUGUACAUCUAUGUAUUAAAGAGCAUACUACAAGUAAAGUGCUUCCCCAAGGGCUUGGCAAGGACUCAACCAUCGACAGCUAUUGCCGACCUUUAUUAGGAGUUCAGAUGAGAGCGUUCUGGGCUGCGGCACCUUAGAGCUUCCCGUAAAAGGUAGAUACAGAGCAGUAUGGUAACAGCGGUAAAUGUGAUGAGGCUUAAGCUGUAUUCUCAAGGGAGUCUUGUCUUUUAGUUUCAAUGUCUUGUCUUUUAGGCACAACGUGUUUCUCUCUGAUCCUCCUCUCUAACCUGCACCCAUCUUCAGGAAUACAGGUGUGACAGGGUAGUCCUGGACCAGAAGCAUCAGCAGCUAACAAGCUGGAAUUCGUUGGAAAUACACAUUUCCGGGGCUCCCCCUAGACCUACUGAUGAAGGUGCUUUGGAGCAGGGAUCCAACAGACUGAACAGACCUUGCAGACGAUUCUGAUGCACGGUGAAGGCUGAAAACCACACUAAGGUGAUGAGCGCCGGCACCUCUGUCGCUGCUAUGAUGUUGAAGGAACAAAUCAAGGACAUAAGGCUGAGAGAUACAAUGUGGCCGAUUUCAAGCAGAAAUGCUGCUGAGUACUUCAUCACCUGUUUUGUUGUGGUUCAAGUAAGGGCUGAAAUAAUAGUAGAAAAACGCGUAAACGAGUAAAUACAACUGAGAAAAGAAAGGUGGCGAUGUAAAGCAGUAUAUUUACAUAUGAAGAUUGGUCAGGGAUGCACUCAUCUAUUCAUCCAGCCAUUCACCUACUCGCCCUUCCAUCCGUUAAUUCUUUAUUUUUUUUCAAAAAUGUUUUCUUGGGACUUCCCUGUUGGCGCAGUGGUUAGGAGUCCGCCUGCCGAUGCAGGGGU